This is a long non-coding RNA of Alosa sapidissima (American shad), 915 nucleotides long. RefSeq lists it as uncharacterized. The record is from RefSeq and is a predicted model, not a curated record. The transcript is spliced from 2 exons. Lineage: Eukaryota; Metazoa; Chordata; Actinopteri; Clupeiformes; Clupeidae.
AAGUUAGGCGCACCAGUGCAAAAAGUUAGUCUGGAGCCCUGAAAAAUAGAUAGGCUAUUUCCCCGGUAGUAGACUAUUUACAUAUUCCAAAACAUUCUCAGUCUUUACGCCACAGCAGAGAAAACGUCACUUCUAUAAAGUCCAACCGUUACGCCCCCACACCAGCAGGGGAGACACUUUUGCUACCAGGGUUCACUCGGAGACAAACCGGAGCAAUGGUAAGAUUUAAAGAAUAGACUAUGCUUUCAUUCUGCUGUAGGCUAUAAGGAAAUAGAUAGGCUACGUUAAUAGAUACCGAUCUUAACUGUACAUUUUGUUUUCACAGACUAACUUUGCCUCUUAAUGGGGCCGUGACCCCCUUUUUGCUCGGAGCUGUCUGCAAGUCAUUCAAGCAAUUCGGUAAACUCCAGGUUGCUGUCCAUAGAGGACCGGUUGGCUGCUCUGGAGUCGAAAAACUGUGAGGGAGAGACUAAGAAGAGAAUACGGGAUGCACAAUCCCAAGCUUGCGCUGCUGGAAUCGUGACAGUGUGCUAGCAGAGGACGAGGGGGAACUUUGGAAGUCCGCCACCUUAGACGUCUAAUGAUGUCUAAUGAAGACGGCGAUGUUGGCUGGGUGUCUGAAUGGAUUGUACGAUCGCCUUCCUUUCAUAGCCCGGAGCUCUCUGAACUCUGUGGCACGCUGCAGUUCCGGUUAGAGGCGACUCUGAAGUACAGAGCCACGCACCAUAGGCGUCUGCAAAAAGGGCCUGCCUCAGAAAGAACCACCAGUUACAGUCCCGAGGCGGCAAACAGCCAGUUCACGGAGUUGUAGCUUUUGGGCUGCUCGUGAGCUACCCAUAUGUUGUGGUGGCAGAUCCUCGCUUUGCACAUAGUUGUGUGUUUGUUUUAAUAAACCUCUUUCUUUGCAUAAACAUG